Hippocampus comes (tiger tail seahorse) is the source of this 749-nucleotide long non-coding RNA. RefSeq lists it as uncharacterized. Lineage: Eukaryota; Metazoa; Chordata; Actinopteri; Syngnathiformes; Syngnathidae. The transcript has 2 exons. The record is from RefSeq and is a predicted model, not a curated record.
CCUGCACGUCACUGCAGGAAAUACACGUGCUGCGUACUCCCCUGGCCUUCGACCCCGGGACGUGAUGACGACACUAGCGAGGGACCGGGGUCAGAUGAGGUUGCCAGGCAGCGGGCACCAGCCAAUAGGGGAAGAGCUUGGCCAACGCUGCUUGGCAACCGAGGAGGAAAAAAAAAAAGUGCGGCUGCCUGAAAGGAGGCACCGGGGUGAAGACAUGAUGCGGUGGUCAUCACAAAGAUUUAAAAAAAUGAACACAGGAAGUAAUUAGAACAUAAACAAGUGCGCAUGAAAACAAGUGGGAACAAUCUAAAGAGGCGAGGACCUUUCAAGAUGAGAUGAAAAGAUGCAGACAUGAAUGGCACAGCAAUGAAGAAAUGAAUAAUACACGAGGAGAUGACGACAUGAAAAGUGGGUGAAAAAACGAGGAGGCAACAAGAGGAAUACAAGUGGCGACAUGAAGAGGUCGGUCCAAGGACGGAGAAGGAAACCUUCAAGUAUGAAGACAUGAAAAGAUGUGGAUGAUGAAGUUGCGAAGACAUGAAUGGUGACGAACGGAAGAGCUUCUUUCACACGGUUCUUGGGGUCUCACAGCGGUGAGCCAGGAUGAUGUUUGCACACGCACGCGAGCGUCACGCGAGCGUCACUCUUGACCGUCCUGUCACGACACAUCAGACUUUGACUGUACUGUAAAUCUUUUAUUGUGUUGACAAACUGGACAGGAAGUCGUCCAAAUAAAUUACUUUUGCUGC